UUGUUUUAACCUUACGAUAUCACUUUUUCCUAUUGCAUUUAUCCAGCAAAACAGAAUCAAACGCAAAGAAAUAACACGCUAACAUGUUAAAAAUGUCAUCACAUGUUUUAUUCAGCAACUAUCCAUGCAAAUUGAUAUAUGAAUCCUUGACACUAAAAUUUGUUAAUUAGCCUUAAUUAUUCGCGAACAAGUUUUAUAUGAUUAAUCUAAAUUGAAGCCAAGUAAACAACUACUUCUAACCGAAUCACGCUAUUACUAACUAAAUAAUAGAUACGAAAACAGCCCUGGGCAAUUCAAAUUAGUACAAAUCACUGAUAAGUCCAACAGUCCACAAAUUGCAAAACAGUCAAAAGUUAUUACUCAUACAAUUCAACACUUAACUACGUUAAACAACUACAUCUACUAUCUAUUUAACUACUAGUAUGUGACAAUCCAGCAGGCAUGUUUCAGGAUCAACAAUCGGGCAGUUCUAUUCCAUUUUUUUCAAGCUCGGAAUUACAACAGAGAUUCAACUGUGUACCUGGCAAUGAAAGUAAAGAAGGUAAGAUUCAACAGUAGCAACAACGGGUUCAGCAACAAAGAACAGUAGCAGAAAAUCAGUAAUGACCAGUAGAAUAAUCCAGUGACAGAUUUGGAAACCAAACAGAAAAUCUCAACGGAAAUAGUAUCCAGCAUCAGUUUUGAACAAAAUUGUAGUAGAACCAGUAGAGCAGUAGCCAAUGACCCAGUAGCGAACUCAGAAACAAAUACUUGAAGAUUCCAAGGAUACAAGGGAAUAGUAAGCUUCAGAUUUUUUUUCUUCAGGUUUUAACUCUCAAAACUCUCUUUUUACUCUCAAUUUCUCUUGAUCCAUUGUUCUUCUUCUAAGUGUCAAAUGACCCUUCCUUUUAUGUAAAACAAGACCUACUUUCAUCAUUAUUCCUACCCUUUCUUUUUAUAUUAUCCUUCCCCUUUCCAGUUUCU
This 963-nucleotide long non-coding RNA is filed under the name Nicotiana benthamiana. Its description in RNAcentral is "long non-coding RNA (NBEN_LNC031249)". The record is from RNAcentral. Lineage: Eukaryota; Viridiplantae; Streptophyta; Magnoliopsida; Solanales; Solanaceae.